AGCGAACGCUGGCGGCAGGCCUAACACAUGCGAGUCGAACGAACUCUUCGGAGUUAGUGGCGGACGGGUGAGUAACACGUGGGAACGUGCCUUUUGGUUCGGAAUAACUCAGGGAAACUUGUGCUAAUACCGAAUGUGCCCUUCGGGGGAAAGAUUUAUCGCCAUUAGAGCGGCCCGCGUCUGAUUAGCUAGUUGGUGAGGUAACGGCUCACCAAGGCGACGAUCAGUAGCUGGUCUGAGAGGAUGACCAGCCACACUGGGACUGAGACACGGCCCAGACUCCUACGGGAGGCAGCAGUGGGGAAUCUUGCGCAAUGGGCGAAAGCCUGACGCAGCCAUGCCGCGUGAAUGAUGAAGGUCUUAGGAUUGUAAAAUUCUUUCACCGGGGACGACAAUGACGGUACCCGGAGAAGAAGCCCCGGCUAACUUCGUG
This 433-nucleotide ribosomal RNA is filed under the name uncultured bacterium. RNAcentral describes it as "partial 16S ribosomal RNA". It matches the Rfam family "Bacterial small subunit ribosomal RNA", at positions 29 to 507 of the family's 1533-position model. The record is from RNAcentral.